UAUGUAGGUGGUUAAGUAAGCGUAGGGUUUAAGGCGACAGCCCAACUGUCGUAUGCCCCGCGAACUGUUUAACUUGAGUACAGGAGGGGAAGGCGGAAUUCCUAGUGUAGCGGUGAAAUGCGUAGAUAUUAGGAGGAACACCAGUGGCGAAGGCGGCCUUCUGAACUGUAACUGACACUGAGAUACGAAAGCGUGGGUAGCAAACA
This 206-nucleotide ribosomal RNA is filed under the name uncultured bacterium. Its description in RNAcentral is "partial 16S ribosomal RNA". It matches the Rfam family "Bacterial small subunit ribosomal RNA", at positions 568 to 774 of the family's 1533-position model. The record is from RNAcentral.